GCAUCUGAAAAUUGCUGCCGGCCAAACGCGCGAAAUCGAAUAUUCGCACGACAAUUCGCGUGCCCGUGUGCAAACCGCGUUUCACACAUUUACGUGCACGCGAGAACAAUGGAGACUGUUUUAAGAUUCGAGGUGUUGUACACAUGCGCUGUCUUAGGUUAUACUGAAUGUAACAUGCAUUCUUGACUUUUAGUAUAACCCUCACGUUUUAACGAUGUAUUUU
Solenopsis invicta (red fire ant) is the source of this 223-nucleotide long non-coding RNA. RefSeq lists it as uncharacterized. The record is from RefSeq and is a predicted model, not a curated record. The transcript has 2 exons. Lineage: Eukaryota; Metazoa; Arthropoda; Insecta; Hymenoptera; Formicidae.